RNAcentral lists this long non-coding RNA (243 nucleotides) under Gossypium raimondii (Peruvian cotton). Its description in RNAcentral is "long non-coding RNA (GRAI_LNC003867)". Lineage: Eukaryota; Viridiplantae; Streptophyta; Magnoliopsida; Malvales; Malvaceae. The record is from RNAcentral.
GAAAAUGUAUUUUGGGUUUGGGUAAUGGGUUAAUUAUUAGGCUAUUGUAACUAGACUGAUAUUAUUGGACUUUUAAUUUUUAUUUGGCUUUAUAUUUUUUUUUUUAAAUGUUUGUGGGCCGGACAAAUUUAGGUUAUUACACCCAUUUUGGUAACAAUUUCAGUUUCAGUUAGGGCCUUAACCCAUUACAAUACAGAAGCAGUCAUGCAUUUGGGCCUUGGCCCAUUACAGUAUCAAUACUCA